Molecule: ribosomal RNA, 497 nt
Filed under: uncultured bacterium
Lineage: Bacteria
Description: partial 16S ribosomal RNA
Rfam family: Bacterial small subunit ribosomal RNA
Source: RNAcentral
GAUGAACGCUGGCGGCGUGCCUAAUACAUGCAAGUCGAGCGAACGGGCGAGAAGCUUGCUUCUCUGAUGUUAGCGGCGGACGGGUGAGUAACACGUGGAUAACCUACCUAUAAGACUGGGAUAACUUCGGGAAACCGGAGCUAAUACCGGAUAAUUUUUUGAACCGCAUGGUUCAAAAGUGAAAGACGGUCUUGCUGUCACUUAUAGAUGGAUCCGCGCUGCAUUAGUUAGUUGGUAAGGUAACGGCUUACCAAGGCAACGAUGCAUAGCCGACCCGAGAGGGUGAACGGCCACACGGGAACUGAGACACGGUCCAGACUCCUACGGGAGGCAGCAGUAGGGAAUCUUCCGCAAUGGACGAGAGCCUGACGGAGCAACGCCGCGUGAGUGAUGAAGGUCUUCGGAUCGUAAAACUCUGUUAUUAGGGAAGAACAUAUGUGUAAGUACCUGUGCACAUCUUGACGGUACCUAAUCAGAAAGCCACGGCUAACUACGUG